This 254-nucleotide ribosomal RNA is filed under the name uncultured bacterium. Its description in RNAcentral is "partial 16S ribosomal RNA". It matches the Rfam family "Bacterial small subunit ribosomal RNA", at positions 524 to 776 of the family's 1533-position model. The record is from RNAcentral.
UACGGGGGGAGCAAGCGUUGUUCGGAUUUACUGGGCGUAAAGGGCGCGUAGGCGGUCAGCACAAGUCAGUUGUGAAAUCUCCGAGCUUAACUCGGAAAGGUCAACUGAUACUGUGCGACUAGAGUGCGGAAGGGGCAACUGGAAUUCUCGGUGUAGCGGUGAAAUGCGUAGAUAUCGAGAGGAACACCUGCGGCGAAGGCGGGUUGCUGGGCUGACACUGACGCUGAUGCGCGAAAGCGUGGGGAGCAAACAGG